RNAcentral lists this ribosomal RNA (637 nucleotides) under uncultured bacterium. RNAcentral describes it as "bacterial SSU rRNA". It matches the Rfam family "Bacterial small subunit ribosomal RNA", at positions 8 to 635 of the family's 1533-position model. The record is from RNAcentral.
AGAGUUUGAUCCUGGCUCAGAUUGAACGCUGGCGGCAUGCCUAACACAUGCAAGUCGAACGGAAACGAUGGGAGCUUGCUCCCAGGCGUCGAGUGGCGGACGGGUGAGUAAUACAUAGGAAUCUGCCCAGUAGCGGGGGACAACCUGGUGAAAACCAGGCUAAUACCGCAUACGACCUACGGGUGAAAGCAGGGGAUCUUCGGACCUUGCACUACUGGAUGAGCCUAUGUCAGAUUAGCUAGUUGGUGGGGUAAUGGCCUACCAAGGCGACGAUCUGUAGCUGGUCUGAGAGGACGAUCAGCCACACUGGGACUGAGACACGGCCCAGACUCCUACGGGAGGCAGCAGUGGGGAAUAUUGCACAAUGGGCGAAAGCCUGAUGCAGCAAUGCCGCGUGUGUGAAGAAGGCCUGCGGGUUGUAAAGCACUUUCAGUGGGGAGGAAACAGUUGCGGGUUAAUAACCCGUGGCCUUGACGUUACCCACAGAAGAAGCACCGGCUAACCCUGUGCCAGCAGCCGCGGUAAUACAGAGGGUGCGAGCGUUAAUCGGAAUUACUGGGCGUAAAGCGCGCGUAGGCGGCUUGGUCAGUCGGAUGUGAAAGCCCCGGGCUUAACCUGGGAAUUGCAUUCGAUACUG